CCAAUAGCGUAUAUUAAAGUUGUUGCAGUUAAAAAGCUCGUAGUUGAAUUUCGGGGUUAGUAGAUUGGUCGUGCCACGGGUAUGUACUGGUCUCACUGAUUCCUCCUUCCUGAUGAACCGUAAUGCCAUUAAGUUGAUGUUGCGGGGAAACUGGACUGUUACUUUGAAAAAAUUAGAGUGUUUAAAGCAGGCUAACGCUUGAAUACAUUAGCAUGGAAUAAUGAAAUAGGACGUUCGAUCCUAUUUUGUUGGUUUCUAGGAUUGACGUAAUGAUUAAUAGGGAUAGUUGGGGGCAUUAGUAUUCAAUUGUCAGAGGUGAAAUUCUUGGAUUUAUUGAAGACUAACUACUGCGAAAGCAUUUGCCAAGGAUGUUUUCAUUAAUCAAGAACGAAAGUUAGGGGAUCGAAGACGAUCAGAUACCGUCGUAGUCUUAACCAUAAACUAUGCCGACUAGGGAUCGGAUGAUGUUAAUUUUUUAAUGACUCAUUCGGCGCCUUACG
This 500-nucleotide ribosomal RNA is filed under the name uncultured Glomeromycotina. Its description in RNAcentral is "partial small subunit ribosomal RNA". It matches the Rfam family "Eukaryotic small subunit ribosomal RNA", at positions 591 to 1092 of the family's 1831-position model. Lineage: Eukaryota; Fungi; Glomeromycota. The record is from RNAcentral.